Orcinus orca (killer whale) is the source of this 12398-nucleotide long non-coding RNA. RefSeq lists it as uncharacterized. The transcript is spliced from 8 exons. Lineage: Eukaryota; Metazoa; Chordata; Mammalia; Artiodactyla; Delphinidae. The record is from RefSeq and is a predicted model, not a curated record.
GCGUUCUCAGGGAUGGGACCAGAGAGAAGGGUGUGAAGGAGACCCCAGUUGAGGCAGGACAUUGCAGGUAAAGAAGGGGAAGAAGAGGCCGAGAAGUCGAGGGCCAGACUGUGAAGGAGAAUAAAGGAGGUCAAAGAGAGGUCAUAUCGUCGUACCUCACUUCCUGACACAAACAAGUUUUUACUGUUGUCAGCAACAAAGCCCUAAUAUAGCUGCGGAAGAGAAAAACUGCAUUGCAUUUGCCUCCUGCAAGCAUCAUCAACACAGUUACCGGAGGAAUGUAAUUCCAGAAAAGCUUUAAAGCUGGUGUGAUGGUAAUUAUGUAUCAAAUGCCUGAUUCUAUUUCUGUUAUUAUUUUGUCAUUUCUGAUCUACUCAACAGCAGGCUGAACUCGCAGAGGGACAAAUCCAGUUUUUCUUUUUCCCUUGGUAAAAUUUAAUCGGACCUGAUACAAAACUCAUUGCUCUUGGGGAAAAUAAGUAGGAGCCACGAAAUGUAAUUUUAACAGAGCGUGGGUUUUGUGACUGUAGGAAAGGAUUUAAGGACGCUCCUUCUGUUCGGUUUCCUAUGUAAUGAGAAAAGGCUACACGCACGCACAGACGCCACAGCUCCCGGAUGCUGUGGCUCACUCAUCUGGGCUUCUGCAGCGCCAGAAGCCCCUCCGGGAUGCUGCGAGGGGCUCUCGGUGGGUGGUGGUACAAACGCUGCGGCCGCUGCCGCCAGUCCUGCCGCUGCUGUUGUUGCUGCUGCAGUCACGUGGGAGGCCCUUUAAGUUUCCAUAGAGAGGCCUCUCCGGUGUCACAUGAUGGACAUGAUAUAAUGAAACAACAUUGUGGAGAGGAAAGCAUUAGGGGAGCCCACGGCUACAAAAACAAGUGAGUGAGAAGAGGUGGGAGGAAGAGAAACUACGCCACCUCCCCUGCAGCCGAGCUGCACGCAGCAGCAGCCCGCGGGAAGUGGGCGACGCCGGGGGGGAAGGGAGACUCGGUCCCCAGCCCUGCUGCCCACCGCAAAGAGAACAACUUUUAGCCGGCAGCCUCGGCCAGCACUGUCUCCACCUGUCUCCGGAGCCUCCAUCGCUCCUCGUGAUGAUCAAAGGGGCAUUCUAGAAGAAUAUGUUCUACAAAUAUACAUGCGCAUCAUUUCCCCCCUUGCGUCUCGCUCCGGAGGAAGGAAAGAGGAAGGGAUUUAAGCAGCAGCGUGUGUUCAGCCCCAAGGGAACUGGACGGCGUCGCUUCCAACACACCCCCGCCCCCCCGGCGCAGGUUCCAGAAGGCGGGCUGGGUGGGUCUCCAGGUUUCCAGAGAGCGAGUGGCGUAGCAGGGAGAAAAAUCAAGACCACCCCCCACCCCGUUUUAAAUAUCUGAUUCAGCUCGAAGCUAGGCUGAAGGCACCACCAAGCCUGCCUGGAAGGGAACUUCUGCUCAGUUCUUGGACUGAGGGAUGGAAUAGGAUUUUACUUCACUUGUUUUCAGGGACUCUUAACUGGUGAAAAGAGUUGGGAUAUUUUAUCAUCUGGAGUUUCUCUGCCUCGCUGAUGAUCUAAGCUCAAACCUGCCAGUUUAUGGGAGAUGAUAGAAAACACUCUCUAACAUCUGAGUUGCAGAAAUAUGUGCCUCUAAGAACUCAGGAGGACCUACUUUGUGGGAGCAAAGGUAGUGAGUCAUACCUGCAAGCUUGGAAACGAGAGUUCACUUGUGCCUCUUCAUCCAGUCGGGACAUUUCCUCGGCAACCAUUUAUGCAGCAAUUAGAAGAUGAGGAGUUGAGAGGUUUCUACUUGGAUGUCCAUGAGGAUAUGAUAAAUAUUUCUCUUCCUCUGUGAAACACUAAUGCUCCCAGACUUUCUUUAACAUGGACUUGCACUAAUCAAAACUACAAUGAGAUAUUGUCUCACACCGAUCAGAAUGGCCAUCAUCAAAAAAUCUACAAACAAUAAAUGCUGGAGAGGGUGUGGAAAAAAGGGAGCCCUCUUGCACUGUUGGUGGGAAUGUAAACUGAUACAGCCACUAUGGAGAACAGUAUAGAGGUUCCUUAAAAAACUAAAAAUAGAACUACCAUAUGACCCAGCAAUCCCACUACUGGGCAUAUACCCUUGAGAAAACCAUAAUUCAAAAAGAGUCAUGUACCAAAAAAAUGUUCAUUGCAGCUCUAUUUACAAUAGCCAGGACAUGGAAGCAACCUAAGUGUCCAUCAACAGAUGAAUGGAUAAAGAAGAUGUGGCACAUAUAUACAAUGGAAUAUUACUCAGUCAUAAAAAGCAACGAAACUGAGUUAUUUGUAGUGAGGUGGAUGGACCUAGCAUCUGUCAUACAGAGUGAAGUAAGUCAGAAAGAGAAAAACAAAUACCAUUUGUAUGCUAACACAUAUGUAUGGAAUCUAAAAAAAAAAAAAAGGUUCUGAAGAACCUAGGGGUAGGACAGGAAUAAAGACGCAGACGUAGAGAAUGAACGAGGACACGGGGAGGGGGAAGGGUAAGCUGGGACAAAGUGAGAUAGUCACGUGGACAUGAAUACAUUACCAAAUGUAAAAUAGGUAGCUAGUGGGAAGCAGCCGCAUAGUACAGGGAGAUCAGCUCAGUGCUUUGUGACCACCUAGAGGGGUGGGAUAGGGAGGGUGGGAGGGAGGGAGAUGCAAGAGGGAGGAGAUAUGGGGAUAUAUGUAUAUGUAUAGCUGAUUCACUUUGUUAUAAAGCAGAAACUGACACACCAUUGUAAAGCAGUUAUACUCUAAUAAAGAUGUUAAAAUAAAAAUUAAAAACGAAAACAAAACAUGGACUUGCACUAAAUUCCAUCUUAAUGAAUAAGGUGUCUUCUUUUCAUGCGCCAGUGAAAGAGGAAAGUCCUACUAGUUACAUGACAGGCUCGUUUUCAAUAGUGUCAGAGAUAAUCUGAAGAGAACCAUAAUAUUAAAUCAUUAGUGGUGCUAAUUUUAAAUAGGGCUAUGCUGUGAUCCUAGAUCAGGUGUUCUGUAGAAAUGUUAAACCCAAGAUGAAAUCUAGCGAUUGGCUGUUUUCUAACUGGAGACUGAGAGAAGCCACCUCCCCACUCUGAGGGCCUGAGGGCUUCAUGAACGUUUUCAACUUUUAGCCACAAUAAUUUGAAUUUUCUUUUGGAUACCUCAGUCGAUUCCCUUCUGUCGCCAGCAACUUUGAGACUUUUACUGCAGAAAUGUGACCGAUUAAGUAGGCGAAUUUUGUUGUUAAUGGUUUUUUAUCUCCUCCCUGGGUACCUAGAUCUGUGGAAGAAAUUAUAACAAAUCCCUGGUCUAGAGUCAAGCCUCUGGACUCUUUUUUUUUCCUAUAGUGAAAGUGAAAAUUUACUAAUUCUUAGAGUCAAAAUGUAUCUAAGCUACUUAAUUCUUAAGUCCAUUUUGACAAUGACCUUUUAGUGGUACUGAUGAUGCAAUUCUACCCUUAAUUUUAACUUCUUUCAUUUAAUUACAUAUUUGAAAUGUCAGGCUGUAGUUCACGAACUUCCUUAAGUUAUUUUUACACUGGGGUUAUAAAUAAGAUAAUAAUUUGGCUUAUUAUUUUUAAUAUCUGUGACUUUUUUUGUGAAAUAAAAAUUGAUUUAUCAAUUGAUUCAUGCAUUCAUUCACUGAAUGUCUCCUAUUUGCCAGUCACUGUAUUAGGUGCUGGAGAUACAAAGAUUAAGACCUAGUCUCUUACUUUAAAGGUGCUAACAAGUACACAAGGAGAGGCGCAUAAAUAAAUAUUGUUAUAAGAAUAGCAAACACUUCUGUAGUACUUACUAUAUGCCAGGCACUGUUCUAAGUGUUUCCUAGGCAUUAACUUUAAGUCCUGAAUUGAUAAAAAAGCCCUAUGAUGUUCUUACUAUUAUUUUCUCUAUUUUACAUAAAAACAAAUUAGGGCCCGGAGAGGUUAAGCACUUGUCCAAGGUCAUAAAGCUUGUUUUGGUUGACAGUCGAAUGUAGUUAAGUGCAGAAACAGAGCUGCCUAUGGAAUGCUCUGGCAGAACAGGGGAGCAUCCAGCUGGGGAAAUGGGGAAUGGAGAUGUCGUAUCAGUGACAUCUUUCCGAAGGAGACAAUCCCUGAACAAGUGGGGUGGAAGAGGCAGAUUUUUCUUUGAAAUAUUUAUUAACAUAAAUGCCGCAUCAUAAAUGAGUUCAUAGGUCAAAUCAGUGACAAAUACCAGAAGAUGAGGAGAUAGUAAAAAUAUACCAGAUCCCUGCAUCUUCAAUUUAAACGACAAGGAAAAAGAUUUCCAAUUUUGAGGCAGACACUUAUUUUCAGUUGGUAUAAAUUACGGUAAAAACUUGGCAUUUGAAAAAAAUCUAAUAGAAAUGUUAAUUUACUUAUACUCUGUAAGCAUGUGGGAUAAAUGUGUGAUCCUUUGGAAGAUUCUAAAAUGAAUGCCCAAUCACUGAAGAUUUUAUCUUGGGAAACCUGUAGUAAUCUAAUAGUCUACUACUAGUAUUUAUUUGUGUAAAUGCAGCGGAAAGAUUGGUUAACAUCUUUCAGAUUAAAAAUUGGCAGAACUACCUGACUAGGUAAGUUAGUUUCAUCAUUACAGAGAUGAAAAACUAUUCAGAAGGUGGGCUGGUGGCACCCAUGCCUGGCCUGGCUGCGCUGGGUCUUUGCUUUUCCACCUUCCUGUCCACCCCCUACUUUUUUGAGCAUCAGCCGUAUGUUUAACCAUCCUUUUGCCCCCCACCCCCCUAUAAGUCUUCUCUGCUGACUUCCUCAUUACUCCCACUCAUCACUGAUGACUGCCUCAUUGCUCUCCACCCUGCCCCAGCUUCACGGGAUGACCCACCUCCUUCCCUGACGGCAUGGGUUUUGGGGCUUGUCUUCACCAGUGAUCUCCCCAACUCCCCUCAGUUCCCCACUUCCUAGACCUUGUCUACUCAUGGCUCAGAUCAGUAAGUCAGAAAUUCCCUCCUUGACCACAUCCUCUUGUCCAUCCACCUUGUCCCACAGAGUUACACCCGCUGCCUCUCCUUUGAUCUCACUGAGACCUCCCUAAUCGGUGGACUCCUUUGCUCUGUACUUAGCCGUUAGUUCCUUCCUGUCUUUAUUUCCCUCCUUGUCCGUGUAGAAUCCGUGGUCCAGGUUUUAAGUCACUCUCUUGCCAAAAGCUUACGCCUCCUGACCUUUUUGUCCUUUUGCUUGCAUCCAGGCUGCUGAGCAGUGUUGGAGCGAAUCCUACGAGGAGGUAGAUUGGUACCUGUCUGCAUAAGUUGAGGUGUUGCCCAACACUGCACAGCACUUGCAUGAUUCUGGUUAACUGUCCUACUCGUUCUUCAUGGUGCCUGUUACUAAGCUAGUCCAAUCCUCAAACUCAUGAUCCUUCUCCUCCCCACUUACUCUCAUCAGCCGAGUUCCUGCAGUGGAACUCUCUGUCCCACCUGCCACGGAGCCUUCUCUGGUCCUGAUGACCUCCUGGUUUUUCAUCCACCUUUUAUACUGUCUUAAUUGUCUUUGUACGUUUCAUUUCCAGCAAACUGACUUCUGUUAUAAGACGAGUACAGACAUCUGCUUUCUCUCCUAAGUACAGUAAAACAUUUUUGUGCUUCUGUCCUUUGCCUUCUGCUGGAAUUUAUUGGAGGGUGGCAGGCCCCUGGCUUUCUUGUGCUGUGUGUGUGUGAGCACUCACGUGGGCCGCAGACCUUCAUUCUGUGACCUUAGCCAGAUGCAGUGCCAAGCCUUACACAGGAACCACCUCCCUCGGCUGCUGGAUGGUUCUGUGCUCUGCAGAGAUAGUCCCCUAGGGUUUAUUCUGCAUAUGUGCAGUAGAAAAUUUGAUUGGCAUCUUUCAGAUUAGAAAUGGGCAGGAAUUUCGUAGAUAGAUCAGUUUUAUUAUUACAGUGUUCUAAAAGUGUUGUCUUCAGCAUGGCUCACCUUUGCAGAUGAUCGAGGUGCACUGAGGUGAGAGAUUUGGCCCCCACUUCUGCCAAGUCAGCCUCAGCUCUGUUCUCGUCUACACCUCUGUGUGCUGAUUCUCUGAUCCGCUGUUGGAGGAUUGCUGCCCACUCCUGCUGCUCCCCCGUGCUCCUGCUCCUUAUAAAUGCUGCUGCUCCUUAUAAAUGCUGCUGCUCCCCCAUGCUGCUGCUCCUUGUAAAUGCUGCUGCUCCCCCGUGCUGCUGCUCCUUGUAAAUGCUGCUGCUCCUUGUAAGUGCUGCUCCCCCGUGCUGCUGCUCCUUGUAAAUGCUGCUGCUCCUUGUAAAUGCUGCUCCCCCAUGCUGCUGCUCCUUGUAAAUGCUGCUGCUGCUUGGAAAUGCUGCUGCUCCUUGUAAAUGCUGCUGCUCCCCCGUGCUGCUGCUGCUUGUAAAUGCUGCUGCUCCCUCGUGCUCCUGCUCCCCCGUGCUGCUGCUCCUUGUAAAUGCUGCUGCUCCCCCGUGCUGCUGUUCCCCUGUGCUGCUGCUCCCCCGUGCUGCUGCUCCCCUGUGCUGCUGCUCUGCACUUCUCUCCUUUUCUCCCCCUUCUCUUCUUUUGCCUUAUCUCUUUGGUUGGCUUUCACAUAAAAACGGGAACGUUUAGUAGACAUUAUUCACUGAUUUAUUAAUUAUUUCAUUCCAGAGCUGGGCAUUCAGGGAUGCAAAGAUUAUGAGCAUGACGUAGUACUGCCCUUGUGGUGAUCGUAGGGAGAAACAUCUGACUGUGACAUUCCAGUAUAUUAUAAUAAAGACUGUUAAAGUCUGUGCUGAGCAUUAUAUUUAUGUAAUUUCAUACAGUCUUUUAAAAAAUCCUGUUUUUUUCAUACCACCUUUAUUCAGUUUAUGGUGCAUUUGUUAUUACUGUGAUUCUCAUGCGUAAUGUAUUCUCACCAGAAUAUUUUAUUUGCCCCCCUGUUACCGUCUAAGGCCAACUUCAGACUUAUGCCUUGGCAUACUUCACCACAAGCCUGAUAUCUUCAGUGCCUUAUGUCUUAAAGAGAAAAAAGAUAGGUUGUCGCAGAGGGUAUAUCACAACCCCUUUGAGAUGACUGAAGAUGAUAGUUCAGUCCAGUUUUAUGCGUCACGGGCAGCUGGAAACUAGCCCUCUGCACCCUGCUGAGGAGCCUGAGCUGCUUCUGUCCUGUGCAUGGUUGUGCCCUGACCUUCACUUCUUUGCGGAGGGCUCCCGUAUCCCGACGUCAUAGUUCCUACCCUCUCUCCCAACUCAACUCCUUUUGUUUUUAUUAUUUUACUCUAGAGAAGCAACUCACUGAUUAUUCUGAGACACUGUUCUGUAAGAACUAGUUAUUAAUUUGAUCAGUAGACGUUUAUUGAGCAUUACUACCAGCCAGGUACCACUCUUGAGUGCUGGGGACAGAUAAGGGCACAAAGUAACACCUCUGCCCACUUGGAGCUUUUGUUCUGGUGUGGGAGCCUCCCAGGAAACCAAUAAACAUGCGUUGCGAAGCCAGAUGGUGGCCGAUCCUGGGAAGAAAGUAAAGCCGGGUAAAGGGGUGGGAGACACGGGCGGGGUGUGUGUGCUGCUGUAUUCACUACAUCCCAGGCCUCUCUGAGGAGCUGACAGUUAACCACGGACCUGAGUGUCUUGGUCAGUUUGGGCUGCUGUAACAAAUAAAACAUAUAUGGGCGGCUUAACGACAGACAUUUGUUUUUCACACUUCUGGAGGCUGGAAGUCUGAGAUCAGGAGGCCAACACGGGCAGGUACUUGGUGAGGACUCUUCCUGGUUUCAGACAGCUGCCUUCUUGCUGUAUCCUCACAGGGCAGAGAGAAAGAUCAUUUCUCUUGUGUCUCUUCCUAUAAGGGCCCUAAUCCCAAUCAUGGGGGCUCCGCCCUCAUGACCUAAUCACCUCCCAGGGGCACCACCUCCAAAUACCAUCACAGUGGGGAUUAGGGAUUCAACAUAUGAAUUCUGGGAGACGCAAGCAUUCAGUCCACAGCACUGAGUGAAGUGAGGAAGAGCAUUCCAGGCACAGGGAAUUGCAAAUUCGUAGGCCCUGGCAUGAGCCUGGGCUUGGCUUGUCAGAGGGAUAGCCCUGUCAGAGCAGAACAGGCAGGAAAGGAGACAGCAUUUGGAAAUGAAGUUGGACAGAGAUCGAGGUCCAGUCCACGUAAGGCUAAUAGCUGUGGUGGGCAGUUCAGAUUUGAUUCCCAGGCAUGAGGAGUCUUUCUGAAAAGGGGAAAGAUGUGUUAGGACUUAGAAUUUUAAAAGGUCACUUUGGAUGCUGUGGGUUGAGGGUCAAAAGUAGAAACUGGGGUGGUUUAGGGGAGAGCUGGUGUGCCUGAGAUGGGCUGGUAGCUCAGUCUGGAUUGGGGAAGAGGUUCUUGGAUUGGGGACAUUGAAGGUAGAGCUGGUACAUUUUGCUGAUAGAUCAUUGGUGGGGUAUGAAUGAAAGAAGAGCCAAGGAGAACCCUGAGAUUUUUAUACUGAGCAGCUAGGUGGAGGAAGGUGCCAUUUACUGAGAUGGGGAAAGUAAGGGUUGAUAGUGAAAGAUGUUGGUGUGAAAAAGGAUCUCAUAGUCAAAUACGUUUUGGAAAAAUGGUUCUAGAGCAUGAUCAGGAGAGCUGGAGCAGGUGCGACAGAAUACAGGGGAGAGACUAAAGAAAACCAUUUUUCUUAUUUCCCUAUUUUUUCCUCCUAACUCUCCAUAUUCCCACCAACAGUUACUGAAUGUUGGUGUGGUACCUAGAAAAAAACCAGUUAAUUCAGUCCAACCAUUUGUCAGUUUAUUCAGACAACUGAUUUGACAUUUUAAUUAACCACAACCAUAAUGAUUGUACUGAUUGUUCAGAUAGAGUCAACCACUGUGUUUGGUUGAAGCCAGAGCAAUCAAGAGUGCAGUCAAAGUUUCCUGAGGAAUUUUCUUGCCACUACAGAACAGGAAGAUGGCAUUUGCCCUCAAUGUUAGAUUCUGGUAGAAUGCUGAGUGGGAGGCCCUUAGGGAAUACGGGUAGGAAACAGCAGAACAAGAUGAAAAAAUACCAACAGGGAAUAACCUGAGAGCAGCAGAUAGAUCAGUGGCUGAGUUAGAAUGCAGAGUGUUGGAGAGGAUGCACUUAGACUCCCCAGCGAGGUGCGUUUUCUCAUGGGCCUUCCCCGGGUUUAGGGCACAUUCUGCAGUGUCAGUGAGCUUUGUUGGGGGAAGGGAGAGCUCACAAGGCUUGGUUGAAAACGGAAGGGAAGGGAGGUCCACCACUGCCCAUCGUCCCACAGAGAGGUGUGCGGAGCCGGUGCGCCCUCAGUGUAGUGUAGGUCUGUGUUUGAGUGAUGGGAUGGUGCCCCCUUCCUAUGUUUUUAAAAAUAGAUUUUGGUUCUUUUAGGUGAAGUUCAUAACAUAAGGUGAGCCAUUUCCAAGUGAAAAGUGGCAUUUAAUACAUUAGCGUUGUGCAACCACCACCUCUGUCUAGUUCCUAAACAUCUUCAUCACCUCAGAAGAAACCUCUCUGUGUCCGUUGAGCAGUCACUCCUUAUUUCCCCCUCUUUCUAGCCCUGGCAAACAUCUUCACAUCUUCACCUUUUUUAUGGGGCACAAGAAAGCACCUUUAAUGGUGGGUGAAUACACAGGCUGCUUCGGACCAGGGAGUCCAGAUUUGGGACACCUGCUAUUUACAGGCAUUGUUUGGGAACACCAGCUGCCCCCCCCACCCCGACCCCAUACCUGGAGACCUUGGGACCUGUGGGAAGCUGCAGAAGUUCCCCAAAACUCAGAGAGGAAAAGGCACUGGGCCUGUGCGAAGCUGAGUUUGACUCUGUCCUCUCCCCUGCAAAAAAGUACCUUCCCAGCAAAUGAUCUGGGAAAAACGAGUGUGUUGAGGUGACCCAGAGGGUUUAAGGCAAUUGUGCUCAUUCUGGCACAACUAUGAACAAGCACGGUUAAAGGUAACAUGUGAAGUGUCCUUUCCAACUUUGCCUGUCAUACAUCUGGCACCACCAUUCAGCUGUUGAGGGCAUCAAGAAAUUACAUAAAGAGAUGAGAACAUUGAAUCAUUAAUGUGUUCUUUCAAAUGGGAAUUUGUAAGAUCUUAAGGUCUUGAGACAGACUGGCCACACUCUUCUCAGUUGAAAAUGCCAUUGUCCCAGCUGUUCAAGAACCAGAUGUUGGAAACCUAAUAGUACAGAUUCUAGGGCACCUGCUGAGCUAAGUGAAUGGAGUAGAGAGAUGCACAGAGUAGAAGGAAUUUUUCAUUCUUCCCUGUGUCCUUCUGUUAUGGACUGUAUGUUUGUGUUCCCCAGAUUCAUAUAUUGAAGGUCUAAUAACCCCCAGUGUUUGGUAUUCAGAGGUAGGGCCUUGGGGAGAUAACAGGUUUAGAGAGUGGUGUCCCCAUGAGGGAUUAGUUUGCUUGUAAGAAGAGGACGACCAGAGCUUGCUCCCCCCGACCCUCGCUCCCCCGUAAGGACACAGUGAAAAGGGGGCUGUCCCCGAGCCAGGAAGAGAGCGCUCACCAGAGCCCGACCAUCUGGCACCCUCACAUUGGACCUAACAGCCUCCAGAACUGUAAGAGAAAAUUUUCUGUUGUUUAAGCCACCCAGCCUGUGGAAUUUGUUACGGAGGCCCGAGCUAAUGAGACACCUUCCCUUCGUAUUUAUUCAUUUGAUGAGCUAUACGUACCAGUUGUACAAAACUAGAUAAUUAAAUCCAAACACUACAGGGGUGUAUAAAGUUUAAGUAAAACUCUAUCUUCUUCCCUCCGAUCAUAAGACCUUUUGAAGUAGGCUUUGAACAGUUUGGGGUUUAUUCUUCUAGACCCACACCAUCUAACAAAGUUGCCGUUUGCCACCUGUGGCAAUUUAAAUUUCUCUGUUUUAAGACUUUUUUGAUGUGGGCCAUUUUUAAAGUCUUCAUUGAAUUUGUUAACAUAUUGCUUCUGUUUUAUGUUUUGGUUUUUUGGCCGCGAGGCAUGUGGGAUCACGUAGGAUCUUAGCUUCCCGACCAGGCAUUGAACCCACAGCCCCUGUGUUGGAAGGCGAAGUCUUAACCACGAGACCACCAGGGAAGUUACUGUGGCUAUUUAAAUUUAACUUAAUUAAAAUUAAAUAUAAGUAAACGUCCAGUACCUCAGUCAUACUGGCCAUCUUUCACAUGCUCAGUAGCUGUGUAUGACGAGUUGCUACCAUGUUGGACAGGGUAGGUGGAGAGCAUUUCCAUCAUCACAGGAUGUGCUGUUGAACAGCACCGUUUUAGAUAAGUUAUAUUCCUACACAAACAUGUAUAUCUAUAUAUAAAUAUAUAUAUGCAUAUAUAUAUAUGUGCAGUUGGCAUAAUAUGGUACAUAUGCUUCUGCAAUUUGUUUUUUCCACCUAACAGAGAAACUGUUAAUUUAGUGUGAUGCACACGUAACAUCAUGCCAGGAAAAUUAUAAAACAGAGUGCAUCAUCAAACAUAGAGUUUCAGUAAAUUAAAACUCUUUCAAUUUCAGAUCUUAAAGGUAGUUGCAGCAUAGCUUUAAGGCCUUUUCCAACUUUAACUAAAGAAAUUAUUUUUUGAAAUAGUCCACUCAGCCUUGGGUACGUAAAGAAAGACGAUUCAGGAGAUGUAGCUUGAGCUUAAUCUACCAUGCUUGCCAUACAUAUUCAUACACACACGUUUCUUUCUGUCCCUGUUUCAUAACAGGGAUUGUAAUCUUUUUCUGUUUAUCCACUAUUUGGUAGACCAGGACUGUCCAAAAUGGUAGCCACUAGGCACCUGUGGUUAUUUAAACUAAAUUAAACUAAAAAUUCAGUUCCUCAGUUGUACUAGGCACGUUUCAAGUAUCCAUUUAGCCACAUGUGGCUGGUGGAUACGGGUGUUAGGCAUCGUGGAUAUAGAGUAUUGCUAGUUUGCAGAACGUUCAUGUGGACAGUGUUGCACUAGAAGAUAUUCUUCAGAUAUCUUUCUCCUUAAAUUCAGUGAGUUUUCCACAGGUGAUGGAUGGGGGACUCUGCCCAGGGGGACAUGCAGAAUUUCUGGGGGUGGGUGGAGAGCUUGCACUUCCAUGCCCUUCCCGUUCAAGAUUUUUUUAAUUCCUCCCUCUGAAGACGCAUGUUCUUCCAGCUAUUUGUUGAGAAUUAGUGUUCCAUGGAAGUUAAUUGUGGGAAAGAAAAUUGGUACUAAGAGCUUUUCAAGGUUAGACUAUUUGUGAUAAUUGGUGGUGCACACACACUGUUAAAUAGCACCUGUAUAUACAGUAAAUGUCACUGUUCAGUUUAGAAUAGAAAGUAAAUUACAGUGAGUGCUGACAAAAAAAUAUGUUUAAGCUUUUUAAAAUGAGAAAAGAAUAGAAUAUUGGAAAUGCAAAACAGAAUGUGUUUAUGUUGACAUUUAUGUUAGAAAAUACAUAAUUUGGACAAAUUCACAGGAAACAGGAAGAAUAGUUCCCUUUGGGAAGGGAAAUGGUGUAAGGGAAACAGAGAUAGAACAGAGUGGCUUUUUCACUGUAUAUUCUUUUCUUAAUGUACCUUGUAACUAUGUGCUUGUUAGUAAAAAAAAAAAAAAAUCAAUAAA